UACGUAGGGGGCUAGCGUUGUCCGGAAUCAUUGGGCGUAAAGAGCGUGUAGGCGGUCCGGUAAGUCCGCUGUGAAAGUCGGGGGCUCAACCCUCGAAUGCCGAUGGAUACUGUGAGGCUAGAGUCCGGAAGAGGCGAGUGGAAUUCCUGGUGUAGCGGUGGAAUGCGCAGAUAUCAGGAGGAACACCAAUAGCGAAGGCAGCUCGCUGGGACGGUACUGACGCUAAGGCGCGAAAGCGUGGGGAGCGAACAGG
Molecule: ribosomal RNA, 253 nt
Filed under: uncultured bacterium
Lineage: Bacteria
Description: partial 16S ribosomal RNA
Rfam family: Bacterial small subunit ribosomal RNA
Source: RNAcentral